RNAcentral lists this ribosomal RNA (252 nucleotides) under uncultured bacterium. RNAcentral's name for it is "partial 16S ribosomal RNA". It matches the Rfam family "Bacterial small subunit ribosomal RNA", at positions 524 to 776 of the family's 1533-position model. The record is from RNAcentral.
UACGUAGGUGGCGAGCGUUAUCCGGAUUUAUUGGGCGUAAAGCGAGCGCAGGUGGUUUAUUAAGUCUGGUGUAAAAGGCAGUGGCUCAACCAUUGUAUGCAUUGGAAACUGGUAGACUUGAGUGCAGGAGAGGAGAGUGGAAUUCCAUGUGUAGCGGUGAAAUGCGUAGAUAUAUGGAGGAACACCGGUGGCGAAAGCGGCUCUCUGGCCUGUAACUGACACUGAGGCUCGAAAGCGUGGGGAGCAAACAGG